This 72-nucleotide transfer RNA is filed under the name Candidatus Daviesbacteria bacterium RIFCSPHIGHO2_01_FULL_44_29. RNAcentral describes it as "tRNA-His". It matches the Rfam family "tRNA". Rfam says of the family: Transfer RNA (tRNA) molecules are approximately 80 nucleotides in length. RNAcentral also lists the same sequence under 3 other names. The record is from RNAcentral. Lineage: Bacteria; Candidatus Daviesiibacteriota.
GUGGCUGUAGCUCAACGGUAGAGCGCCUGCCUGUGGCGCAGGAGGUCGGGGGUCCAACUCCCCUCAGCCACC